GUGUGAUUAAAAGAAGGGGGAUGGAGGGGAGCGGUGCUCCCCAUCCAGCCUCUGUGGAUUUAUGUGUAUGUGGUGUAAUAGGCCGGAGGGUGUAAGUGAUAAUACACCCUCCGGGGGGUGGCAUGUUGAGAUGUGAUUAAAAUUGGAGGGAUUAGUAGGGCAACUAGGGUGGGAGUGCCGCCCCCACGCCACUACAUAGUAACACAGGUGGCGGCCCCCUCCACCCCCAGCCCCACCAUCCAGCCCCCCAAGGGUUGGGUAUGGGUGUGUGGUGCAUUUUGUGAGUGAGCCAGACCAGCUGGGAGUGUGGUGAAGUGAACAUGUAGGAGGCCUGUCCGGUGUGAGCCGGGCCCGUCCGCAUGGCGGGCCACGCGAGAGGGUAGAUGGCGCAGACGGGCAAGUGGCACUGUGGGCCCCGGAGCAGCACAGCCAGAGACCCCCCCCCCACGGCACCCCCCAGACCGCGCCGGCCCCGCGGAGCACGGCGACAACCCCCACCCCCGGGCACAGCCAGGCACCAACCCCAUCCCCCGGCGCCCCAGGGGGCGACCCCCGCCGCACGCCGGCCCGGAGCAACGCCACCCCGCCGCCAAGGGGAGCGGCCGAGCAGGGGGGAGGCCCGCGCCCGCACCAGGGCCAGCACAGGCCCACCCGGCGCCACGAUACAACACUCUCCACCGGGAGGCGGCCCCGGCCCCCCCGACUAGAGAGGACGCCAUCCACCGCCAAGCAGGGCCAUCCCGCCAGCCACGGACCGGCAAGCCGGAGUACCGAAGCACCCCCAGCCCGGAACCGCCCCCCCACACCAACGGCGCCAAUGGAGCCCCCCCCCCCCCCACGGAGGCGAUCCCCGACGACCCACGCACCGGCACGAGACACCCCCCCGACGCCAGCCCACCCCGGACGACAGCGGGCCCGAGGCCACCAGCCCCGCCCCGCCCAAGGCUGCGCAGCGCCGCCACGAGCCGCGGCCGGUCCCCGGGCAGAUGGCAGGAGAGCACUCCCC
Molecule: long non-coding RNA, 1006 nt
Filed under: Gouania willdenowi (blunt-snouted clingfish)
Lineage: Eukaryota; Metazoa; Chordata; Actinopteri; Blenniiformes; Gobiesocidae
Description: lncRNA (ENSGWIG00000014453.1)
Source: RNAcentral